GACGAACGCUGGCGGCGUGCUUAACACAUGCAAGUCGAACGGUGAAGCUCCAGCUUGCUGGAGUGGAUCAGUGGCGAACGGGUGAGUAACACGUGAGCAACCUGCCCCUGACUCUGGAAUAAGCGCUGGAAACGGCGUCUAAUACUGGAUACGAGAAGGGUCCGCAUGGGCACUUUCUGGAAAGUUUUUCGGUUGGGGAUGGGCUCGCGGCCUAUCAGCUUGUUGGUGAGGUAGUGGCUCACCAAGGCGACGACGGGUAGCCGGCCUGAGAGGGCGACCGGCCACACUGGGACUGAGACACGGCCCAGACUCCUACGGGAGGCAGCAGUGGGGAAUAUUGCACAAUGGGCGAAAGCCUGAUGCAGCGACGCCGCGUGAGGGAUGACGGCCUUCGGGUUGUAAACCUCUUUCAGCAGGGAAGAAGCGAAAGUGACGGUACCUGCAGAAGAAGCACCGGCUAACUACGUG
RNAcentral lists this ribosomal RNA (468 nucleotides) under uncultured bacterium. RNAcentral's name for it is "partial 16S ribosomal RNA". It matches the Rfam family "Bacterial small subunit ribosomal RNA", at positions 28 to 507 of the family's 1533-position model. The record is from RNAcentral.